Molecule: ribosomal RNA, 853 nt
Filed under: Allelochaeta walkeri
Lineage: Eukaryota; Fungi; Ascomycota; Sordariomycetes; Amphisphaeriales; Sporocadaceae
Description: partial 28S large subunit ribosomal RNA
Rfam family: Eukaryotic large subunit ribosomal RNA
Source: RNAcentral
GAAACCAACAGGGAUUGCCCUAGUAACGGCGAGUGAAGCGGCAACAGCUCAAAUUUGAAAUCUGGCCCUUGGGUCCGAAUUGUAAUUUGUAGAGGAUGUUUUUGGUGCGGUAUCUUCCGAGUUCCUUGGAACAGGACGCCUUAGAGGGUGAGAGCCCCGUACGGUUGAAUGCCUAGCCUUUGUAAAACUCCUUCGACGAGUCGAGUAGUUUGGGAAUGCUGCUCUAAAUGGGAGGUAAAUUUCUUCUAAAGCUAAAUACCGGCCAGAGACCGAUAGCGCACAAGUAGAGUGAUCGAAAGAUGAAAAGCACUUUGAAAAGAGGGUUAAAUAGCACGUGAAAUUGUUGAAAGGGAAGGAUUUAUGACCAGACUUUUUCUAGGCGAAUCAUCCGGUGUUCUCACCGGUGCACUUCGUUUAGUUUAGGCCAGCAUCGAUUUUCGGGGUGGGAUAAAAGCUUUAGGAAUGUGGCUCCCUCGGGAGUGUUAUAGCCUAUUGUAUAAUACCGCCCUGGGGAUCGAGGUACGCGCUUCUGCAAGGAUGCUGGCGUAAUGGUUAUCAAUCACCCGUCUUGAAACACGGACCAAGGAGUCGAACAUUUGUGCAAGUGUUUGGGUGUUAAACCCUCACGCGUAAUGAAAGUGAACGGAGGUGAGAGCCCUUACGGGUGCAUCAUCGACCGAUCCUGAUGUCUUCGGAUGGAUUUGAGUAAGAGCAUAACUGUUCGGACCCGAAAGAUGGUGAACUAUGCGUGGAUAGGGUGAAGCCAGAGGAAACUCUGGUGGAGGCUCGCAGCGGUUCUGACGUGCAAAUCGAUCGUCAAAUCUGCGCAUGGGGGCGAAAGACUAAUCGAACC